GUGCUUGCUUCAGCAGCAUAUAUACUAAAAUUGGAAGAAUACAGAGAAGAUUAGCAUGGCCCCUGCAUUCCAUAUUUUUACCCAGAAUUGAACCCACACACUUAU
Mastomys coucha (southern multimammate mouse) is the source of this 105-nucleotide small nuclear RNA. The record is from RefSeq and is a predicted model, not a curated record. Lineage: Eukaryota; Metazoa; Chordata; Mammalia; Rodentia; Muridae.